CAAUAAUUCAGAUAUUCUUAUCUGCAUAUAUUGAAGACACCCCUGGGUUCAGGGAGAAGGUCUUACUCCUUAUUAGUUUUAUUUACUGAUGACCCCAAGCGAUAAACACUACCGAUCCAUAAUCAAGACUCAAGAGGUUCAAAAAUUGGGGAAAAAUUAAAUCAGAAUGUUAAAUUGGGGAAAGAAAAUUGGAGCAAAAUUAAUCGAUCAACGUUGUUCGAAUCAAAAUUCAGAAGGCAUGAUACGUGAAUUUCAGAGCAAUUUGGCAGAGUUUGGAGUAAAAAGAAGAAAAGCCUACAACAACCCCCUAGGUGCUAAAUGCCCAACUGGCGUGUAACGCUAGCAAGGGAUCAAGGUGUGCAUGAGUUUACUCCUCCUAGGGCAUUAUAAGCCCAUCUCUGGCGUGAAAUGCCAAGAGCAGGCCGAACACAUCCUCUCAUUGGGUCUCCAAGUGGAUUUAUCACCUCUUAGUUUUAUUUCCUUUUGUAAUCUUUAUUUACAAACGAGAUCUUUUUUUAGGUUUAACAUUUAUUACUAAGUUAGUAUAUAAGGAGUAAGAUGCACCCUUUCUGGGCAUCUUUCAUCAAGCAUCAUUAGACGGAAUUGUGUUUUCUCUGUGAGU
Molecule: long non-coding RNA, 622 nt
Organism: Arachis duranensis
Lineage: Eukaryota; Viridiplantae; Streptophyta; Magnoliopsida; Fabales; Fabaceae
Exons: 3
Source: RefSeq, a predicted model, not a curated record